RNAcentral lists this non-coding RNA (29 nucleotides) under Mus musculus (house mouse). Lineage: Eukaryota; Metazoa; Chordata; Mammalia; Rodentia; Muridae. The record is from RNAcentral.
UACAGAAAUGUGCUGAAACUAUCAAGUGU